This 301-nucleotide ribosomal RNA is filed under the name uncultured bacterium. RNAcentral describes it as "partial 16S ribosomal RNA". It matches the Rfam family "Bacterial small subunit ribosomal RNA", at positions 509 to 807 of the family's 1533-position model. The record is from RNAcentral.
CAGUAGCCGCGGUAAUGCGUAGGGUGCAAGCGUUAAUCGGAAUUACUGGGCGUAAAGCGUGCGCAGGCGGUUCGUUAAGACAGAUGUGAAAUCCCCGGGCUUAACCUGGGAACUGCAUCUGUGACUGGCGGGCUAGAGUAUGGCAGAGGGGGGUAGAAUUCCACGUGUAGCAGUGAAAUGCGUUGAGAUCGGAAAGAACACCAACGGCGAAAGCACUCUGCUGGGCCGACACUGACACUGAGAGACGAAAGCUAGGGGAGCAAAUGGGAUUAGAUACCCCCGUAGUCCCUGUCUCUUAUAC